AUGGCCAGAACGGCUGGGGAUGGCCCAGGCCCGAGCCAGGAGCCAGGAGCUUCUUCCAGGACUCCCCCACUGGUGCAGGGAACAAGCUCUUGGCCCAUCCUCUGCUGCUCUCCCAGGUGCGUUAGCAGGGAGCUGGAUCGGAAGUGGAGCAGCUGGGACUCCAACCAGAGCCCACAUGGGAUGCAGGCGGCAGUGAAACCCACGGGACACAGCCAGCCCCUUGUAUUUUACUUGCUCUUUCUUUGGCUUUUUCUUUUUGGAUCCCUGUUCACACUGGCUGGGACCUGCAGCACGGCAUGGAGCAGUGGUGACAGUGGACCCUCUUUGGCAGGCACCGUUUCUCAGCCAACCAAGGGGAAAGGCCCUAAUCAGGCGAUCGAGGUUUCUCAGCCUCAGCAGACUGGCGUUCCAGGCCGUCGCGUGCGUCAGCAGCAGUCUGGGAGGACAAGGAUGCACAUAUGGGGGCCACGGGGAGGUGCCAAAGCCUCUGGGGACAAGGUGCAGGCUAUGCCAAGUGAGAAGGGCCUGCUGCAGGGCCAAGGGGGUCCAGGCGCAAAGGAUUUUGAGCUUCUAACCUCGCAGAGAGGCAGCCCGUGGCCCAAACAGCAGCACCUAACCCACGGGGGCAGGGGCUUCAAGCACUGUGCAGACGGCAGGCCGUGACCUGACCAAUGACGCUUGGUGGCUACGGUGACAGGCUCACGGUUUGGGCCGUGGGCAGUGGCCCCGUCUCUGGGGAUGGUCUAGCCCCUUCUUCCAAACUCUUCUUUGCCAAACUCGUGCCGGAACUCUGGGUUCUCCCGUUACUUUAUUACAUCAACACUUGCUACAACUCAGAAGACCUUCAGCGUAAUGACAUCAAAUAAAGCCAUGUCCACUUUACCUUUCUAUGUGAGG
RNAcentral lists this long non-coding RNA (897 nucleotides) under Oryctolagus cuniculus (rabbit). RNAcentral's name for it is "lncRNA (ENSOCUG00000039172.1)". Lineage: Eukaryota; Metazoa; Chordata; Mammalia; Lagomorpha; Leporidae. The record is from RNAcentral.